CCUCGUAGCAGUGUUCUGGAAUCUUAUGUGAGGGACAAACACUUAGAACCCAGCAGCACUGUUCUGGAAUCCUAUGUGAAGGACAAACACUCUUUACACAGCAGGAGUGCUCUGGAAUACUUUGUGAGGGACAAACAUUCAGACAAUCGUAGCAGUGUUCUGAAAUCCUAUGUGAGGGACAAACACUCAGAAGCCAGCAGCAGUGUUCUGGAAUCCUUUGUGUCGGACAAACACUC
This 236-nucleotide long non-coding RNA is filed under the name Homo sapiens (human). RNAcentral describes it as "HSALNT0393243". Lineage: Eukaryota; Metazoa; Chordata; Mammalia; Primates; Hominidae. The record is from RNAcentral.